CAGCUUCCGGAGCAGCUGGGACUGCUGGCGCCCGCCACUACGCUCGGCUAAUUUUUUUGUGUUUUUAGUAGAGACGGGCUUUCACCGUGUUGGCCUAGCGGUUCUCCAACUCCUGACCUCAUGAUCCCCCCGCCUCAGCCUCCCAAAGUGCUGGGAUUACAAGCGUGAGCCACCGCGACCCGCCAACACUCUUGACAACAGUGCUGUGCUAAGAACUUGGGGGACUUCAAAAAGUUCACCAGUUCCUGUGUCCAUGGGUGAAAAGAUUUUCUACAUCUUUCCUUGACUAGAAACAGAAGUCCUGAAACAAGAAUAUAACGUCAGGAGGCCAGAGGCUUUGUCCUGCCUAAUGUGUUAUUUCCACACUGAAUAAAAGCACCUGAGUCCUGGUAAGUGCUCAUAUGAUUGGCUCAAUAAAAGAAUAAUAAAUGAAUUGGAAAGAGGAGACAGUGAAGGAUAUAGGAGAUGUACCUGAUAGCAACUUACUGCCUCUCAGCUCAAAAUUCACCCUUCAAAACCUUUUCUACACCAAUGGAUAGAAUUCCUGUCAGCAUUUCUCUUUUACGUUGAACACAAUGUUAAGCUUCCUCAGUGAAGGACCCUAGAUGGACAUUGCAGGAAGAAGGGACUUCCCCUGUUGGACCUAGAGGUUGUACCAGCAUUGUAGGUGGGAGGACAUCCACUGGCUCUUUGCAAUAGCCAUGUGUCCAUAAAGUAUAGUUUCUCAGCAAUCUCAUUGCCCAGUCUAGGCUUGGCAAUCACCCUCCUGCAGCCUU
This is a long non-coding RNA of Homo sapiens (human), 776 nucleotides long. Ensembl annotates it as long intergenic non-protein coding RNA 2327. The record is from Ensembl. Lineage: Eukaryota; Metazoa; Chordata; Mammalia; Primates; Hominidae.